This 199-nucleotide long non-coding RNA is filed under the name Nicotiana benthamiana. RNAcentral's name for it is "long non-coding RNA (NBEN_LNC002775)". The record is from RNAcentral. Lineage: Eukaryota; Viridiplantae; Streptophyta; Magnoliopsida; Solanales; Solanaceae.
CAUAACCACCGGAAAAGGCUCUGAGUCACCUCCCAUUGUCCUAACCGAGACUUAGCUCCAUCAUACAUAUUUUUUAUCGCCCUAAUAUAAGCUACCGGUACACCUUUCACCUCCAGGCAUCCCCAAAGAACGUCACUGAGACCUUGUCAUACGCUUUCUCUAGGUCAAUAAACACCAAGUGCAAGUCCCUCUUCCUAUC